AGAAUCAACGCUGGCGGCGUGCCUAACACAUGCAAGUCGAACGAGAAAGUGGAGCAAUCCAUGAGUAAAGUGGCGACCGGGUGAGUAACACGUGACUAACCUACCUUCGAGUGGGGGAUAACCUCGGGAAAACCGAGGCUAAUACCGCAUAACAUCGCAAGAUCAAAGCAGCAAUGCGCUGGAAGAGGGGGUCGCGGCUGAUUAGCUAGUUGGUGAGGUAACGGCCCACCAAGGCGACGACGGGUA
This 246-nucleotide ribosomal RNA is filed under the name uncultured bacterium. RNAcentral's name for it is "partial small subunit ribosomal RNA". It matches the Rfam family "Bacterial small subunit ribosomal RNA", at positions 26 to 285 of the family's 1533-position model. The record is from RNAcentral.